GUUAGGAAUAUUGGACAAUGGGCGCAAGCCUGAUCCAGCCAUGCCGCGUGAGUGAUGAAGGCCUUCGGGUUGUAAAGCUCUUUAGCCGAUGAUUAUAAUGACUGUAGUCGGAAAAUAAGCCCCGGCUAACUUCGUGCCAGCAGCCGCGGUAAUACGAAGGGGGCGAGCGUUAUUCGGAAUCACUGGGCGUAAAGCGUGCGUAGGCGGCUUUGCAAGUUGGGAGUGAAAGCCCAGGGCUCAACCCUGGAAUUGCUCUCAAAACUGCAAGGCUCGAAUUCGGGAGAGGAUAGCGGAAUUGUCAGUGUAGCAGUGAAAUGCGUAGAUAUUGACAGGAACACCAGUGGCGUAAGCGGCUAUCUGGACGAGUAUUGACGCUGAGGCACGAAAGCGUGGGGAUCAAACAGGAUUAGAUACCCUUGUAGUCC
RNAcentral lists this ribosomal RNA (425 nucleotides) under uncultured bacterium. RNAcentral describes it as "partial 16S ribosomal RNA". It matches the Rfam family "Bacterial small subunit ribosomal RNA", at positions 354 to 796 of the family's 1533-position model. The record is from RNAcentral.